Small nuclear RNA from Sciurus carolinensis (gray squirrel), 107 nucleotides. NCBI's taxonomy places the organism in Eukaryota, Metazoa, Chordata, Mammalia, Rodentia, Sciuridae. The record is from RefSeq and is a predicted model, not a curated record.
GUGCUUGCUUCAGUAGCUCAUAUACUAAAAUUGGAACAAUACAGAGAAGAUCAGCAUGGCCUCUGCACAAGAAUGAUAUGCAAAUUCAUGAAGUAUUCCAUAUUUAA